Oncorhynchus kisutch (coho salmon) is the source of this 687-nucleotide long non-coding RNA. RefSeq lists it as uncharacterized. The transcript is spliced from 3 exons. The record is from RefSeq and is a predicted model, not a curated record. Lineage: Eukaryota; Metazoa; Chordata; Actinopteri; Salmoniformes; Salmonidae.
GUUGACAUUUGAGACACACAGAGUGUUGGCGAGAAGAAACUCACACAUCAGUGUCUGUACCGAGCACGGUGGAGGCAAGCCUGGACAACAAAGAGUACUCUUCUGCAUGCAGCGUUAAGCUGAUGGAUCGAGGCCUAGAUUCAGACAGCCGCAUAGCUGAUGUUUUUGGCGGUGUUGGAGGUGGAACUGAGUUGGAGCCGUCAAAUUGGUCUCAUUAUGUGACUCUGUGAUUGGUAGAGGAAGAGGAUAAAGGAUAAAGGAAACCCAAGAGGAAGCUGUUCUCAUUAAAGCUACAGACGUGUUAAACAGCAAGAUCUCAUAAUCCCCGCACUUAGAACCCUGCCCUUCUUCCCUAAACUCUGAAGAAACUCACCCUUCCCCCCUAGGAGUUGAACGAUAUUUAUAUUGUUGUUGACAGAUCCUGUAUGUCUGUUCAGUCAAUAGGUUAGCAUCGGUUCAGACACACAUUUUAAUCAUUUAGCAGACGUUCUUACCCACACAAACACACCCUGGCAACUAAAUCUACUGACUUUGGCUUCAGAAACACUGUAUUGUAUAUCAGUGUCUUAAUUACUGAUGUUCAAAUCAAACCCCAUUUUAUUGGUCACAUUUGGUCACAUUCAGUUUCUAGCUCCAACAGCGCAGUAGUAUCUAACAAUAUCUCACAACAAUACACACAAAUCUAAA